UGGGGAAUUUUGCACAAUGGGGGAAACCCUGAUGCAGCGACGCCGCGUGAUUUAGAAGGCCUUCGGGUUGUAAAAAUCUUUUGUAUGGGAAGAAAAUGACAGUACCAUACGAAUAAGGACCGGCUAAUUACGUGCCAGCAGCCGCGGUACUACGUAAGGUCCGAGCGUUUUCUGGAAUCAUUGGGCGUAAAGGGUACGUAGGCGGAUAAGCAAGUUAGAAGUGAAAUCCUAUAGCUCAACUAUAGUAAGCUUUUAAAACUGCUCAUCUGCAGGUAUGGAAGGAAAAGUGGAAUUCCUAGGGUAGCGGUAAAAUGCGAGGAUAUUAGUAGGAAUACCGGUGGCGAAGGCGACUUCCGGACCAUAUACAGAAGCUGAGGUACGAAAGCGUGGGUAGCAAACAGG
RNAcentral lists this ribosomal RNA (402 nucleotides) under Verrucomicrobiota bacterium. RNAcentral describes it as "Verrucomicrobia bacterium partial 16S ribosomal RNA". It matches the Rfam family "Bacterial small subunit ribosomal RNA", at positions 355 to 776 of the family's 1533-position model. Lineage: Bacteria; Pseudomonadati; Verrucomicrobiota. The record is from RNAcentral.